UUUCAACAACGGAUCUCUUGGUUCUGGCAUCGAUGAAGAACGCAGCGAAAUGCGAUACGUAGUGUGAAUUGCAGAAUUCAGUGAAUCAUCGAAUCUUUGAACGCACAUUGCGCCCUUUGGUAUUCCAAAGGGCAUGCCUGUUCGAGCGUCAUUUGU
Molecule: ribosomal RNA, 156 nt
Filed under: Alternaria embellisia
Lineage: Eukaryota; Fungi; Ascomycota; Dothideomycetes; Pleosporales; Pleosporaceae
Description: 5.8S ribosomal RNA
Rfam family: 5.8S ribosomal RNA
About the family: 5.8S ribosomal RNA (5.8S rRNA) is a component of the large subunit of the eukaryotic ribosome.
Source: RNAcentral